Molecule: long non-coding RNA, 3393 nt
Organism: Helianthus annuus (common sunflower)
Lineage: Eukaryota; Viridiplantae; Streptophyta; Magnoliopsida; Asterales; Asteraceae
Exons: 4
Source: RefSeq, a predicted model, not a curated record
CACAGGGGACACGUGUCACCCGUCUAGAGGCUCUAUUCCUUAUUUUCCGGCCAAAACCAGGAUUCAUUGAUUCCCUGUGGUGAACGCAAACGCAUGAUCCAUUUACAACAUUUCGGGUCAAAAUUUGUUUCCAUAUAUAAGCAUAUAACCCGACGCAUAUCAUCAGUUCCCUCACUUUUUCUUUCACAGUUAGGGUUUCAUAAAUUUCUCUCUCACGCUAGGGUUUCUCAAGAAAAUCCUAGGUAAAUGAGAAUGAAGAUCAAAUCAAUGAAUAAUGGAAACAAAGAUUGACAGUUAAAGAAUGAUAAAAUCAGUAUGUUUAAUCAAAAGUACUGAUGAUCUAACCUUGAUUCGGAGUGUUGAUAUGAAGAUUUAUUUAGAUUCAUGUUGUGUUGAAAAAUAAAUGAGUUGUAUCAUAAUCUCAGUUGUCUUCUCUCUGUCGCUGGUUUCAAGGUAUCAAUUAUGAUUAGUUCUUGCUGAUAUGUACACCCGCUCGCUGCCUCUGUUCUAUCUUCGGUCGUCCAUCACAACAAUGUCGUACCCAAUUCCAAAAGCUAUGUUAAUCAAGAUUUGAGGUAACAAAUCAAUCUUUUUUAUUGGGCUAUUAGAAGUUAAUCGCACUCUGGGGAAUGUAAUUAUGAAUUUAGGGGUGAAAGAACCUUAUAAUGCAAUUUAGGGUAAACUAGCUUGGUAAUUUAUUUAAUGAUUUUAAAUAUUUGAUUUUGAUCUAGGGUAAACUAGCUUGGUAAUUUAUUUAAUGAUUUUAAGCACUUGAUUUUGAUCUAGGGUAAACUUGAUCAAAGUUGUUUCUUCCACCAUUUGUGCUUUUUCGAUUAGAUUUGUUACAGUCUUAUAUGAAAACUAUAAACGAAACUUCGAUUCUUUGUUUUUUAGGAAAUUAUAUAAACAAAAUGAUGUGGGUACUCAAAUAUUCAAUAAAAUCCAAAUUUUGAUGUUUAAGAUUUGAUUUCUUUUCAGAAUAAAUUUUGUUAAAUUAGUUGAAUAAACAUAGGAGUUAUUGCUUCUUUUUUCUAUCUAAUCUCAAGUUUAUGGGUUGCUACUGUAUGGCAGUUCGCCUUUUUAGGUAUAGGUUGCUCAUCGCUAUACGUUAGCAGUAGUUUACAACUUUCAUUAUUUGUUUCGUGAAGUUAGCUUUGAUUUUUCAAGACAAAGAAGAAGAAUGGACAUGAUGCUGAAAUAAAAAUGUUGGAAUUAAAAGUUUGAUAUGAUUAAUUGAUAACUAUGAUUAGUUUUUGCACCACGACCAUACAUAACUUUGCAAAAUGAUGAAUUUAAGUGACCACAAGUUCUCUCUCGCUACCAGGAGUAAGAAGGUAAUAUUUAUGCUUAAUCUUUUUAUCAGCAGUGAUUAAAGGUGUGUAUGUGGAGGAGAAUCACAUUACUGAUCAAGUUAUCAGAGAAAAUCUCAAGUUGCCAAGCGGAGCCUAGUUUUAGGUGUUUUUGAGCUGAGCCUGAAAGUGGCAUAGCGGUUUCGAAUUUUUGAUUAUAUUUUCCAAGUAAAUACAUAUAAUUUUAUAUAUUUGUAUAUAUUGAUCUGUUAGUGGUUUGCUAAUAAAAUUUACACAAGGUUACCAUGAUUUAUAUACUUUUCACAACCACAUAAAUAGUAAAACUAGAUACCAAGCAAGAAAAAGUAUACAUUUUUCACAGAACCACAAAUAACAUGAGUUCCAGCUUUUAAAUCAUUUAUUUUAAGACUAUUGAGGUGGGUAUUUUAGACAUUUAACUACCUGUUAAGCUUUGUAGGUAGACGUAGGUACAAGCACCAAUGAUACCAUCAUUGAUUUGGCUGGUGGUCUAUCUUGAUAAAACAAGAUAAUUGCCCUACACAGUCCCAAGGCAAAAAAAUUCCAAGCAUGCCUUGAUGGAGUAUGUUUAAAUGUUAAUUUUAACCUAAAAGUUCACAUUUUCUUUCAGUUAAUAUAUUAAAUUUAAAUCUACGUUUGUUGCCUGAUCUUUGGGUAAUGCAAGGACUUGCCAAAUCAAUAGCCUGGGAUGGAGAAGGGGCAAUAUGUCUUGUAGAGGUGUGCGUAACUAGAUCAUAAUAUGUAUCACGGAUGCUCAAAAGAAGUGUAUUCUUUAUUGUCUCAUUAUGGAAACCAAGGCGGUUAAAGCUACUGAUCAAGAAAAUUGGGUUGAAGGGAGCAGGAUUAUUUCUGAGAUAAAGGUAUGGACCUGGGAUUGGACCUGGGCUAUUGUGUUCAAGAUGUCGAAGGAAAUGACUCUGGCAUGGCCCAAUACUUCUCUCGUCUCAUUAAAGGGUUCAUAAUGCUAGGCGUAUGCUUCCAAUGGAUUUACCAAAGGCAGCUUUCAGCAUGCUAAAUAGGUGUACAAGGGGACCACUAUUGGCAUAGUGUCAUAGUUACCAGAUUGGCGAUAACUAUUAGGGCCGGUCGAGGGUAAGUGAAAACAAGUAGCCGCUUGCGCCCACUGUGAAGAAGCAAACGUCCAGAAUGGUCAAGGGGCAGGAAAUCUUACUGAAGGAGCUCUCAAUUUGAUUAGGGUUUCAUUGAGGCAUAUUCUAAGUAUGAAUGAUCAUUUUUUUUUAUAAUAAAGAUUCAAGUUUUGAAAUUUUAUGAUCGUAAAGAUUCAAGCUUUGAAUUUUUUAUUUCAUUAAUGUCCUGCAGUUUUUGUAUCUAAGUAUCAGGUUCGUUUUCCACAUUGCCCAACAACUUAUAUCUCAUAUGGACUAUGUUUCUCGGUAUUUUAUAUUCCUCCACCACCUAUUCAUGAGCUAUAAUACAUGACCACAGCCUCCUCAAGCUGGUAGUAUAAACUCGGCUCCACCAGUGGCUAGCAUAAAUAGCCACUUCUACAAUACAAAACAACCAGUUAUACACGAAACACAUUUAAUAUUGGAAUUCCCGGAGGCUAUAGACCCUUCAAGAACUGGAACAUUGUCUCGGGUCAACCAGCCAAACGGAUGAACACUUUUGACUUCAACAUUAAAAUGGGAGAUGGAAUUUAAGGCAUACCAUGAGUGCAUGCCUGCAUAAGGUUUUUUUAUCGGUUAUCAAAUAGAAGACGAUUUUCUCAUGUUUUAGAGAUGACUGGACUGCGAAAGUGACUACAACUAUUGACGGUUGAAAGGAUAAAAUGAUAAUAUGCGUUGUCGGAAAGAAUCGGGAGUAAUUCUGGCGAUGGCAACUGCCGUCGUGCAUGAGCGUUAGAUGAGUACUCAUCGGUCAACCUUAACAAGAGACAACGAAAUUGCACCUUCAUAAACAUAGAUUAAUGUCCUUCGGAGAUAAGGAGUUAUGGAGUUCGUGAUUAGAAUAUAUGAUCAUUAACAUGUUGAAAUUAACACCUGCAACUGUUUGAAUAAUGCUAUAGAGUAAAUUUGAUGUGUAUUCUAUGCAAUAGAUCUGAUUC